RNAcentral lists this ribosomal RNA (301 nucleotides) under Lysinibacillus sp. LK3. RNAcentral describes it as "partial 16S ribosomal RNA". It matches the Rfam family "Bacterial small subunit ribosomal RNA", at positions 1 to 289 of the family's 1533-position model. Lineage: Bacteria; Bacillati; Bacillota; Bacilli; Caryophanales; Bacillaceae. The record is from RNAcentral.
UUUUAUGGAGAGUUUGAUCCUGGCUCAGGACGAACGCUGGCGGCGUGCCUAAUACAUGCAAGUCGAGCGAACAGAAAAGGAGCUUGCUCCUUUGACGUUAGCGGCGGACGGGUGAGUAACACGUGGGCAACCUACCCUAUAGUUUGGGAUAACUCCGGGAAACCGGGGCUAAUACCGAAUAAUCUCUUUUGCUUCAUGGUGAAAGACUGAAAGACGGUUUCGGCUGUCGCUAUAGGAUGGGCCCGCGGCGCAUUAGCUAGUUGGUGAGGUAACGGCUCACCAAGGCGACGAUGCGUAGCCG